GGGGGCGCAACGGUUUCGACGGGGAGCAUUGCGGUUCACAAGGAGCGUGUCGAGUUUCCGCUCGUCAAACGGAACCCUUUGAUAGUUGCCAACGACAACUACGCUCUCGCGGCCUAAUUAAGUCCGCGCGUGUCGAUGAUGAGCCUUGAUUCACGGCGCUCAUCGAGACGACGUUGUAGUGGAUCAUCGGAUUCGAGGAUGUCUCGCGGCGGAUCCGAUUAUUAGCGAGGCUGGCCUGGACGCAGGGACGCCUUCUUCCUUAGCGGCCAGGCGAGAAAUCUAAAGAAGGAUACGCACGUAGCUGCCUUGGGGCCGGGUUUCUCGGACGCGGGUUCAAUUCCCGCCG
This 346-nucleotide transfer-messenger RNA is filed under the name Acidobacteriota bacterium. Its description in RNAcentral is "Acidobacteria bacterium (activated sludge metagenome) partial transfer-messenger RNA". It matches the Rfam family "transfer-messenger RNA". Rfam says of the family: Bacterial tmRNA, also known as 10Sa RNA or SsrA, is named for its dual tRNA and mRNA-like properties. Its role is to liberate the mRNA from a stalled ribosome. The record is from RNAcentral. Lineage: Bacteria; Pseudomonadati; Acidobacteriota.